RNAcentral lists this ribosomal RNA (492 nucleotides) under uncultured bacterium. RNAcentral's name for it is "partial 16S ribosomal RNA". It matches the Rfam family "Bacterial small subunit ribosomal RNA", at positions 29 to 507 of the family's 1533-position model. The record is from RNAcentral.
AGUGAACGCUGGCGGUAGGCCUAACACAUGCAAGUCGAACGGCAGCACAGUAAGAGCUUGCUCUUACGGGUGGCGAGUGGCGGACGGGUGAGGAAUACAUCGGAAUCUACUUUUUCGUGGGGGAUAACGUAGGGAAACUUACGCUAAUACCGCAUACGACCUACGGGUGAAAGCAGGGGAUCUUCGGACCUUGCGCGAUUGAAUGAGCCGAUGUCGGAUUAGCUAGUUGGCGGGGUAAAGGCCCACCAAGGCGAGGAUCCGUAUCUGGUCUGAGAGGAUGGUCAGCCACACUGGAACUGAGACACGGUCCAGACUCCUACGGGAGGCAGCAGUGGGGAAUAUUGGACAAUGGGCGCAAGCCUGAUCCAGCCAUACCGCGUGGGUGAAGAAGGCCUUCGGGUUGUAAAGACCUUUUGUUGGGAAAGAAAAGCAGCAGGUUAAUACCCCGCUGUUCUGACGGUACCCAAAGAAUAAGCACCGGCUAACUUCGUG